CCCUCUCUCCCUAUUCACCACGACCCCACUCUUCUUCAUCGUAAAACCCUAGAAGCCUAUUCUCACAAUGCCUAAAGUUCAUGGAUCUGGUACACACUCAAACGGCAGCGAAUCGGUGAAUAUCCAGCGGAGAUUUCAAAUCUAUCACCGGAGAAAAAACCAUUAUCUACUGUUUCGAGUUCGAUAAUUUAACUAAAAUUGCAUCAAGUAAUUAUAUCAAGAAUCCUCUCAAUACUGAUCUCGUGAAAGAAAUUUACGAGUCUGAGCUCUCAGUGAAACAAAACUGUUAUUAAGAAUCCUUUCAAUAUGACUGUUUCCUUUCACAGAGUUAUGAAUUUAGAGGUUUCUCGGUAUUUGGAGUAGUAUCUCUGGCCUCAUUUUGAUUCUGAUACUGCUAGCUUGGAACAUCUUAUGAUAUGAUACUCAUGAUUAAUGAGAAGUGUAGGUUAGAGAGAAUAUAGCUGCUUGGUCUCUGACAAUUUAGUUGUUGAUGGAUUGGAAGGACUUUAAUAUCUUUCAGAGUUUGGAAAAUGAUAUUGUCUGCCAGACAGUAUUGAAGCCAGCAAGUCUGCGGGUCUGGAGUUGUUUGUCUCAUGUGCGGUUUCAGAUGGAGAUGUGCCUCGAUUCGAAUUUAAUAAAGAAAUGGCAUAAGAUGAUAAAGAAGCAAUCUGAGGAAGCAGAGAAACGAGGAGAGCCUUUUGACCUCUUAAGCAAGCCCAAAGUAAGAUUUGUUAAGAAUCUGAUUGAAGAAUUUUUGGAGAUACUCGAUUCCCAGAUUUUCCACAGAAACAAUCGGAUCAUGUAGAUAAUCAAUUUGGUGGUUCUGAACAAGUUGAUAAUGGCUUUGUGCCAUACUGUGAAAGGUUUUUGGAGUUUCUCAUUGAUUUGUUAAGCCAAACUGCCCACAAGGAGGUUUUUGAGGCCUGUUGUUGCUGAUGUUGCGGUUGUUCCCAAAUGUCAUUUAAGUGCUCUUUAUAACCACCCGAAGCGACGGCUUUUUGCACGGUUGGUUGAUCUGCUCCAGUUGUACAAAGGAUUUGAGAUUAAU
Molecule: long non-coding RNA, 1048 nt
Organism: Papaver somniferum (opium poppy)
Lineage: Eukaryota; Viridiplantae; Streptophyta; Magnoliopsida; Ranunculales; Papaveraceae
Exons: 6
Source: RefSeq, a predicted model, not a curated record